Molecule: ribosomal RNA, 280 nt
Filed under: uncultured bacterium
Lineage: Bacteria
Description: partial 16S ribosomal RNA
Rfam family: Bacterial small subunit ribosomal RNA
Source: RNAcentral
ACUCCUACGGGAGGCAGCAGUGGGGAAUAUUGGACAAUGGGGGGAACCCUGAUCCAGCCAUGCCGCGUGUGUGAAGAAGGCCUUUUGGUUGUAAAGCACUUUAAGCGAGGAGGAGGCUUACCUGGUUAAUACCCGGGAUAAGUGGACGUUACUCGCAGAAUAAGCACCGGCUAACUCUGUGCCAGCAGCCGCGGUAAUACAGAGGGUGCAAGCGUUAAUCGGAUUUACUGGGCGUAAAGCGCGCGUAGGUGGCUAAUUAAGUCAAAUGUGAAAUCCCCCG